UUGACUGCUAGUGCAUCUGCCAAGGUAAUGUCCUUUGAUCGGAGAGUUGGGCUCACGGAGAAAUUGACAGUUGGAAUUUCAGCAGUCAAUGAAAAAGUGAAGUCUGUGGACCAAAGGCUUCAUGUUUCAGAUAAAACCAUGGCAGCAAUAUUUGCAGCAGAAAGGAAGAUAAACGACACAGGAUCAGCUGUCAAAUCAAGCAGAUAUGUGACGGCUGGAACAGCUUGGCUAAAUGGUGCCUUUAGUAAAGUGGCAAGGGCCAGUCAGGUUGCUGGUACAAAAACUCGGGAGAAGUUGAAUUCAGCUGUUUCAAACUUAACUGCCAAGGAAUCUCCAAUUGCUGUGUAAGCAAGAAAUUGGGGUCACUAUAAGCUGCUUCAUUAGAUCCUUUGUGACAAAAGCAUUGGACCCAUGCAUUGCUCCAACCAUUGAGUUUGGGGAAUUGAAUGAAGAGAUUGGAGCUGCAGGCUUGCUGGAGAAAGAGAAAAAUUUGUGCAGUGUUCCCUUUAUAUGCAUUUUCAUCUUUGGCUUGACGUGUGCAAUUAUUGUGAACUCAAUAUUGCCCUAUUUUUCAAUAUUCUUUGAUUCCUAGAAUAUGCCUAUGGCUUCUUUGUAAUUUUGUCGUUUGCAACAUUGGUUUCAAAUCCAAAAGAAAAUUAAAUUCACAUUGCCAUAGAAUGC
This 681-nucleotide unclassified non-coding RNA is filed under the name Hevea brasiliensis (rubber tree). Lineage: Eukaryota; Viridiplantae; Streptophyta; Magnoliopsida; Malpighiales; Euphorbiaceae. The record is from RNAcentral.